This 435-nucleotide ribosomal RNA is filed under the name uncultured Saccharofermentans sp. RNAcentral describes it as "partial 16S ribosomal RNA". It matches the Rfam family "Bacterial small subunit ribosomal RNA", at positions 341 to 792 of the family's 1533-position model. The record is from RNAcentral. Lineage: Bacteria; Bacillati; Bacillota; Clostridia; Eubacteriales; Oscillospiraceae.
ACGGAAGGCAGCAGUGGGGAAUAUUGGGCAAUGGGCGCAAGCCUGACCCAGCAAUGCCGCGUGAAGGAUGAAGGUCUUCGGAUUGUAAACUUCUUUGAUUGGGGAAGAAUAAAUGACCUACCCAAAGAACAAGCUCCGGCUAACUACGUGCCAGCAGCCGCGGUAAUACGUAGGGAGCAAGCGUUAUCCGGAUUUACUGGGUGUAAAGGGCGUGUAGGCGGCUCUGCAAGUCAGAAGUGAAAUCCCCGAGCUUAACUUGGGUGCUGCUUCUGAAGCUGUAGAACUUGAGUACUGGAGGGGAAAGCGGAAUUCCUAGUGUAGCGGUAAAAUGCGUAGAUAUUAGGAGGAACACCAGUGGCGAAGGCGGCCUGCUGGACGACAACUGACGCUGAGGCGCGAAAGCGUGGGGAGCAAACAGGAUUAGAUACCCUGGUA